This 66-nucleotide transfer RNA is filed under the name Euphyllodromia sp. Z257. Its description in RNAcentral is "tRNA-Pro". Lineage: Eukaryota; Metazoa; Arthropoda; Insecta; Blattodea; Pseudophyllodromiidae. The record is from RNAcentral.
CAGAGUGUAUUUUAAUAUAAAAUAUUAAUUUUGGGUUUUAAAAAUAAAGUUAUUCUUUCUCUCUGA